UCCUGACCAAUCAGUUCCCUCUGCCAAAACCACAACCACCUAACCAUUGGCUGGAUUGCUCCAUCAAUGAAAUCUCAGGAAUUAUCUCCCCACAUGAGCAAGAGAGGAUAAGGUGGAGAGGGAGUAAGGGAGUAAGAUCAGCAUGCUGCCAGACCACCAAAUAAUCCUUGAGGCCACUGCAUGCUGUGACAGGGGCCUGGAUAGUGACACACAUCUUCUUUAAGCUGCCUGCCUUCAGUGGUACCUUCCUUUUGGUGGGUCAGCAGGUAGCCUAGUUCUUAGAGCGUUGGGCCAGUAACCGAAAGGCUGCUAAAUCAAAUCCCUGAGCUGACAAGGUAAAAAUCUGUCGUUCUGCCCCUGAACAAGGCAGUUAAACCCACUGUUCUUAGGCUGUCAUUGUAAAUAAGAAUUUGUUCUUAACUGACUUGCCUAGUUACAUAUUUUUUUUAAUGAUUACAGAAAGAGUCUCCUUAUCCCUGUUUCGUAGCCAUUUAACAUGUACUGUAUGUAAGCACUUAGAUUCAUAGAAACUGAUACGAACACAAGAACUGACUUAUAUUUUCUUGACCCUGGCUGCUUUUAGACAGGCAACCCAAUUCUGAUAUUUUUCCCACUAAUUGGUCUUUUGACCAAUCACAUCAGAUCUUUUCAAAACUGCUCUUUUUCAGAGCUGAUCUGAUUGGUCAAAAGACCAAUUUGUGAAAAAAAGAUCAGACUUGGGCUGCCUAUCUAAACAUAGCCUAUUUGUCCAAUACUUCAGUCUUGUCUGGGAUAUACAGUACCAGUCAAUACACCUACUCAUUCAAUGUUUUUUUUGUUUUUUUAAACUAUUUUCUACGUUAUCGAAUAAUAGUGAAGACAUCAAAACUAUGACAUAACACAUAUGGAAUCAGGUAGUAACCAUAUAAGUGUUAAACAAAUCAAAAUAUAUGUUAUAUUUUAGAUUCUUCAAAGUAGCCACCCUUUGCCUUGAUGACAGCUUUGCACACUCUUGGCAUUCUCUCAACCAGUUUCACCUGGAAUGCUUUUCCAACAGUCUUGAAGGAGUUCCCACAUGUUCUGAGCACUUGUUGGCUGCUUUUCCUUCACUCUGCAGUCCAACUCAUCACAAACCAUUUCAAUUGGGUUGAUGUCGGGUGAUUGUGGAGGCCAGGUUAUUUGAUGCAGCACUCCAUCACUUUUCGUCUUGGUCAAAUAGCCCUUACACAGCCUGGAGGUGUGUUGGGUCAUUGUCCUGUUUACAACAAAAAUGAUAGUGGGACUAAGUGCAAACCGGCUGGGAUGGCGUUUUGCUGCAGAAUGCUGUGGUAGCCAUGCUGGUUAAGUUUGCCUUGAAUUCAAAAUAUAUCACAGACCGUGUCACCAGCAAAGCACCCCCACACCAUCACACCUACUCCUCCAUGCUUCACGGUGGGAUCUACACAUGCAGAGAUCAUCCGUUUACCUACUCUACUUCUCACAAAGACGCAGUGGUUGAAACCAAAAAUCUCAAAUUUGAACUCAUUAGACCAAAGGACAGAUUUCCACCGGUCUAAUGUCCAUUGCUUGUGUUUCUUGGCCCAAGCAAGGCUAUUCUUCUCAUUGGUGUCCUUUAGCGGUGGUUUCUUUGCAGCAAUUUGACCAUGAAGGCCUGAUUCACACAGUCUCCUCUGAACAGUUGAUGUUGAUAUGUGUCUGUUACUUGAACUCUGUGAAGCAUUUAUUUGGGCUGCAUUUUCUGAGGCUGCUAACUCUAAUGAACUUAUCCUUUGCAGCAAAGGUACCUCUGGGUCUUCCUUUCCUGUGGCGGUCCUCAUGAGAGCCAGUUUCAUCAUAGCACUUCAUGUUUUUUGCGACUGCACUCAAAGAAACUUUCAAAGUUCUUGAAAUUUUUCGAAUUAACUGACCUUCAUGUCUUAAACUAAUGAUGGAAUGUCAUUUCUCUUUUCUUAUUUGAGCUGUUCUUGCCAUAAUAUCGACUUGGUCUUUUACCAAAUAGCGCUAUUUUCUGUAUACCACCGCUACCUUGUCACAACAAAACUGAAUGACUAAAACGCAUGAAGAUGGAAAGAAAUUCCACAAAUUAACUUUUAACAAGGCACACCUGUCAAUUUAAAUGCAUUCCAGGUGACUAACUCAUAAAGCUGGUUGAGAGAAUGCCAAGAGUGUGCAAAGCUGUCAUCAAGGCAAAGGGUGGCUACUUUGAAGAAUCUCAAAUAUACAAUACAUUUUGAUUUGUUUAACACUUUUUUUGGUUCCUCCAUGAUUCCAUAUGUGUUAUUUCAUAGUUUUGAUGUCUUCACUAUUAUUCUACAAUGUAGAAAAUAGUUGUUUUUUUUAACCUUCAAUGAGUCGGUGUGUCCAAAUGUUUGACUGGUAC
This is a long non-coding RNA of Oncorhynchus tshawytscha (Chinook salmon), 2359 nucleotides long. The record is from Ensembl. NCBI's taxonomy places the organism in Eukaryota, Metazoa, Chordata, Actinopteri, Salmoniformes, Salmonidae.